GAACGCUAGCGACAGGCUUAACACAUGCAAGUCGAGGGGCAGCAUAAAAGUAGCAAUACUUGGUGGCGACCGGCGCGAACGGGUGGGUAACGCGUAUGCAACCUACCUAUCAGAGGGGAAUAACCCGGCGAAAGUCGGACUAAUACCGCAUAAAACAGGGGCACCGCAUGGUGAUAUUUGUUAAAGAAAUUCGCUGAUAGAUGGGCAUGCGUUCCAUUAGGUAGUUGGUGAGGUAACGGCUCACCAAGCCGACGAUGGAUAGGGGAACUGAGAGGUUGGUCCCCCACACUGGUACUGAGACACGGACCAGACUCCUACGGGAGGCAGCAGUGAGGAAUAUUGGUCAAUGGGCGAGAGCCUGAACCAGCCAAGUCGCGUGAAGGAAGAAGGAUCUAUGGUUCGUAAACUUCUUUUGCAGGGGAAUAAAGUGCAGGACGUGUCCUGUUUUGUAUGUACCCUGAGAAUAAGGAUCGGCUAACUCCGUGCCAGCCGCCGC
RNAcentral lists this ribosomal RNA (496 nucleotides) under uncultured bacterium. RNAcentral's name for it is "bacterial SSU rRNA". It matches the Rfam family "Bacterial small subunit ribosomal RNA", at positions 31 to 518 of the family's 1533-position model. The record is from RNAcentral.